This 443-nucleotide ribosomal RNA is filed under the name uncultured bacterium. Its description in RNAcentral is "partial 16S ribosomal RNA". It matches the Rfam family "Bacterial small subunit ribosomal RNA", at positions 338 to 795 of the family's 1533-position model. The record is from RNAcentral.
CCUACGGGAGGCAGCAGUGGGGAAUAUUGGGCAAUGGGCGCAAGCCUGACCCAGCAACGCCGCGUGAAGGAAGAAGGCUUUCGGGUUGUAAACUUCUUUUCUCAGGGACGAAGCAAGUGACGGUACCUGAGGAAUAAGCCAUGGCUAACUACGUGCCAUCAGCCGCGGUAAUACGUAGGUGGCAAGCGUUAUCCGGAUUUACUGGGUGUAAAGGGCGUGUAGGCGGGACUGCAAGUCAGAUGUGAAAACCAUGGGCUCAACCUAUGGCCUGCAUUUGAAACUGUAGUUCUUGAGUACUGGGGAGGCAGACGGAAUUCCUGGUGUAGCGGUGAAAUGCGUAGAUAUUAGGAAGAACACCAGUGGCGAAGGCGGUCUGCUGGACAGCAACUGACGCUGAGGCGCGAAAGCGUGGGGAGCGAACAGGAUUAGAUACCCUUGUAGUC